CACGUAGGGGGCGAGCGUUGUCCGGAUUUAUUGGGCGUAAAGAGCUCGUAGGCGGUUUGGCAAGUCGGGUGUGAAAUUUCGAGGCUCAACCUCGAAACGCCACUCGAUACUGCCAUGACUGGAGUCCGGUAGAGGAGUGCGGAAUUCCUGGUGUAGCGGUGAAAUGCGUAGAGAUCGGCAGGAACACCCAAGGGGAAGCCAGCUGGCUGGGCAUUUGCUGACGCUCAUGUGCGACAGCGUGGGGAGCGAACUGG
This 254-nucleotide ribosomal RNA is filed under the name uncultured bacterium. RNAcentral's name for it is "partial 16S ribosomal RNA". It matches the Rfam family "Bacterial small subunit ribosomal RNA", at positions 524 to 776 of the family's 1533-position model. The record is from RNAcentral.